RNAcentral lists this long non-coding RNA (2667 nucleotides) under Taeniopygia guttata (zebra finch). RNAcentral's name for it is "lncRNA (ENSTGUG00000023707.1)". The record is from RNAcentral. Lineage: Eukaryota; Metazoa; Chordata; Aves; Passeriformes; Estrildidae.
AUGGGCACAAGGCACCCCAAAAAUCAGCACAGGACACCCCAAAAAUGUCACCCCCGGUACCCCAAAAAUGGGCACACGGCACCCCAAAAAUGGGCACAAACAGCGCCCCAAAAAUCAGCACACGGCACCCCGAAAAUGGGCACAGGGCACCCAAAAAAUCAGCACACACGGCACCCCAAAAAUCAGCACAGCCGGAACCCCAAAAUUGUCACACGGAACCCCAAAAAUCAGCACAAACAGCACCCCAAAAAUGGGCACAGGGCACCCCAAAAAUCAGCACAGGACACCCCAAAAAUGGCACCCCCGGCACCCCAAAAAUGGGCACACGGCACCCCAAAAAUCAGCACAGCCGGAACCCCAAAAUUGUCACACACGGAACCCCAAAAAUCACACCCGGCACCCCAAAAAUCAGCACACCCCAAAUUCCUGCCGGGGAUACCCCAAAACCCCUCCAAGGGACCCCAAAUUCUCCCCAGGACCCCCCCAGGACACCCCAAAACCCCCCCAGGACCCCCCAAAACUCCAACACCCCAAAUUCCUGCCAGGGACCCCCCAAAACCCCCCCAGGACCCCCCAAAAUCUCUCCAGGACCCCCCAAAACCCCUCUCAGCCCCCCCAAAUCUAUCCCAGCCCCCCAAAAACCCCUUACAGCCCCCCAAAAAUCCCCCCAGGACCCCCCAAAUCCAUCCCAGCACCCCAAAAAUCAUCACACGGCACCCCAAAAAUUGGCACAUGGAACCCCAAAAAUCAGCACACGGAACCCCAAAAAUGGGCACAGGGCACCCCAAAAAUCAGCACAGGGCACCCCAAAAAUGGGCACAUGGAACCCCAAAAUCAGCACCCGGCACCCCAAAAAUCCCCACACCCCAAAUUCCUGACAGGGACACCCCAAAACCCCCCCAGGACCCCCCAAAAUCCCCCCAGGAGCCCCCAAAACCCUCCAGGACCCCCCAAAAUCCAUCCCAGCACCCCAAAAUUGUCAAACGGCACCCCAAAAAUCAGCACAAACAGCGCCCCAAAAAUCAGCACAGUCGGAACCCCAAAAUUGGGCACCCGGCACCCCAAAAUUGUCACACGGCACCCCAAAAAUGUCACACGGCACCCCAAAAAUCAGCACAAACAGCGCCCCAAAAAUGGCACCCACGGUACCCCAAAAUUCAGCACACGGCACCCCAAAAAUCAGCACAGGGCGCCCCAAAAAUCAGCACAGGGCACCCCAAAAAUGGGCACACGGCACCCCAAAAAUGGCACCCACGGAACCCCAAAAAUGGCACCCACGGUACCCCAAAAAUGGCACACGGCACCCCAAAAAUCAGCUCAGCCGGUACCCCAAAAAUGGGCACACGGCACCCCAAAAAUCCCCACACCCCAAAUUCCUGCCAGGGACACCCCAAAACCCCUCCAAGGGACUCCAAAAUCCACCCGGGACCCCCCAAAUUCCCUUCAGGACCCCCCCAAAACCCCCCCGAAUCCUCCCCAGGACACCCCAAAACCCCCCCAGGACCCCCCAAAAUCCCCAAACCCCAAAUUCCAUCCAGGGACACCCCAGAACGCCCCCAGGACCCCCAAAAUCCCUCCCGGCCCCCCCAAAUCUACCCCAGCCCCCCCAAAAUCUCCCCAGGACCCCCCAAAAACCCCUCCCAGCCCCCCAAAAUCCCUCCCGGCCCCCCCAAAUCUAUUCCAGCCCCCCAAAAUCCCCCCAGGACCCCCAAAAUCCCCCCAGGACCACCGAAAAACCCCUCCCAGCCCCCCAAAAACUCCACCGGACCCCCAAAAAUCCCCUCUCGGACCCCCCAAAAAUCCCCCCAGGACCCCCCAAAACCCCUCUCAGCCCCCCCCAAAACCCCCCAGUACCCCCCAAUUCCCUCCAGGACCCCCCAAAAUCCCUCCCGGUCACCCCAAAAUCCCUCCCGGCCCCCCAAAAACCCCCCAGGACCCCCCAAAAUCCCCUCCAAACCCCCCCAAAACCCCUCUCAGCCCCCCCAAAUCCCUCCCAGCCCCCCCAACCCCCCCCAGGACCCCCAAAAAUCCCCUCUCGGACCCCAAAAACCCCUCCCAGCCCCCCCAAACCCCACCCAGGGCAUUAUCAGCCCCCCCCCAAAAACCCCUCCCAGCCCCCCAAAACCCCCCCAAGGCUUUAUCAGCCCCCCCAAAAUCCCUCCCGGCCCCCCCAAAAACUCCACCCUGGGCUUUAUCAGCCCCCCCAAACCCCCCAAGGGACCCCAAAAACCCCACCCAGCCCCCCAAAAACCCCCCCGCCCCCCAGAUAAGCCUUAUCAGCCCCCCCAGUUCCGCCGCACCCCAAAACCGUCGGAAUUUCCCCCAAUUCUCAGAGAACCCCAAAUUCGAAAGGACCCCGAAUUCCGGAGACCCCAAAUUUCGGGGAACCCCAAAUUCCCAAGGACCCCAAAUUCCGGAGACCCCAAAUUCCCAGGGACCCCAAAUUCCGGAGACCCCAAAUUCCCGGGGACUCCCCCAAAUUCCAGGGAACCCCAAAACUCAGAGACCCCCAAAGUCCCUCAAUUCCCAGUGAACCCCAAAUUCCCGGGGACUCCCCCAAAUUCCCAAAGACCCCAAAUUCCGGAGACCCCAAAUUCCCGGGGACUCCCCCAAAUUCCAGGGAACCCCAAAACUCAGAGACCCUCAAAGUCCCUCAAUUCCCAGUGA